GAUGAACGCUGGCGGCGUGCCUAAUACAUGCAAGUCGAGCGAACAGACGAGGAGCUUGCUCCUUUGACGUUAGCGGCGGACGGGUGAGUAACACGUGGGUAACCUACCUAUAAGACUGGGAUAACUUCGGGAAACCGGAGCUAAUACCGGAUAAUAUUUCGAACCGCAUGGUUCAAUAGUGAAAGAUGGCUUUGCUGUCACUUAUAGAUGGACCUGCGCCGCAUUAGCUAGUUGGUAAGGUAACGGCUUACCAAGGCAACGAUGCGUAGCCGACCUGAGAGGGUGAUCGGCCACACUGGAACUGAGACACGGUCCAGACUCCUACGGGAGGCAGCAGUAGGGAAUCUUCCGCAAUGGGCGAAAGCCUGACGGAGCAACGCCGCGUGAGUGAUGAAGGUCUUCGGAUCGUAAAACUCUGUUAUUAGGGAAGAACAAAUGUGUAAGUAACUAUGCACGUCUUGACGGUACCUAAUCAGAAAGCCACGGCUAACUACGUG
This 497-nucleotide ribosomal RNA is filed under the name uncultured bacterium. RNAcentral describes it as "partial 16S ribosomal RNA". It matches the Rfam family "Bacterial small subunit ribosomal RNA", at positions 28 to 507 of the family's 1533-position model. The record is from RNAcentral.